RNAcentral lists this unclassified non-coding RNA (274 nucleotides) under Hevea brasiliensis (rubber tree). Lineage: Eukaryota; Viridiplantae; Streptophyta; Magnoliopsida; Malpighiales; Euphorbiaceae. The record is from RNAcentral.
UCCUGGUACAACUGAUGCUUCCUUCGGAAGAGAAGUUUUGAGCUAUGAGACUCCAAAACCGGUGGUUGGCAUCCAUCGAUACGUGUUCAUCCUGUUUAAGCAGAGGGGAAGGCAAACGGUGAGGCCACAAGCUUCAAGAGACAAUUUCAACACCAGGAGGUUCUCAGAAGAGAACGGAUUGGGCCUGCCGGCGGCUGCAGUGUACUUCAAUGCUCAGAGAGAAACUGCUGCAAGAAGAAGAUGAUCUUGUCAUGACAGGAUCAUCCUUUUCGAG